RNAcentral lists this ribosomal RNA (402 nucleotides) under uncultured bacterium. Its description in RNAcentral is "bacterial SSU rRNA". It matches the Rfam family "Bacterial small subunit ribosomal RNA", at positions 355 to 774 of the family's 1533-position model. The record is from RNAcentral.
UGGGGGAUAUUGCACAAUGGGGGAAACCCUGAUGCAGCAACGCCGCGUGAGCGAAGAAGGUCUUCGGAUUGUAAAGCUCUGUUCUUGGUGAAGAUAAUGACGGUAGCCAAGGAGAAAGCUCCGGCUAACUACGUGCCAGCAGCCGCGGUAAUACGUAGGGAGCAAGCGUUGUCCGGAAUUACUGGGUGUAAAGGGUGCGUAGGCGGCUCUGCAAGUCAGGCGUGAAAACCAGAGGCUCAACCUCUGGACUGCGUUUGAAACUGUGGGGCUUGAGUGGAGUAGAGGCAGGCGGAAUUCCCGGUGUAGCGGUGAAAUGCGUAGAGAUCGGGAGGAACACCAGUGGCGAAGGCGGCCUGCUGGGCUUUAACUGACGCUGAGGCACGAAAGCAUGGGUAGCAAACA